This 1498-nucleotide long non-coding RNA is filed under the name Olea europaea subsp. europaea. The record is from RNAcentral. Lineage: Eukaryota; Viridiplantae; Streptophyta; Magnoliopsida; Lamiales; Oleaceae.
UUUUUCUUCUAAGAGAUGGGUUAGCAGGCAAGCCUAAUAAAAUAUUAGAAGAUUGUCACCACAAAUUUCAAUGCACGUAUUUUUGUCUCAGGAUUUCUUUGGUUUUUUAUACUUCUCCCUUGCUUUUACGAACCUAACUUCCAGCCAAAGUGGAUCGAGCACAUUCAAAAUUAGGAAGAAUAAAUUAAUUAUCAUUGAUUGUAACAAAAUAAAGAAAUGAGAAACAAAAUGCAAAGCUAAAUUGUAAUAGAACUACAUUGGAGUGCAGAACUACAGAACAAGUUAUGAAAGCUUGUUCCUUCAGUAUUUGUUGAGCCGAAGCUACAAGCGAAUCCCUACAAUCAUACAAUUAAAUUGAUACAAGAAUUUGACACCUUCAAGAUCGGGCAUCGAACCAAAAAUCGUCAUAUAUUUCCAAGGGAACCUGCAACAUAAUGUUGUGGUUUGCAGGCCUUUGAUAUGGGUUCUUUACGAUGUUUGACAAUCUAUUUCAUGAAUUUCUCCAUCUCAGAAGGACAUCAAGUUUUUCAAACACUUCUUCACAAGAUAAAUUCCAUCUUUCAUGCUUAUUUAGAAAGUUCACAUGAUGAAGAUAACAACAGCAGCUAGCAUAAAUAGCGAGGUUCUCUAGACUACUAGUUAACAAGAUUCUACUUCCAUAUUAUUUAUAUCUAUUUCAUAUUGUCCCAUACAUCAUCCAUUACAAUGGGAUAUCUCCUUUCGUUUAGUGAUGCUUUUAGUCUACUAGUUAACAAAAUUUUACUCAAUCUUACUUGUAUCAAUAUUUCAUAUUGCUCUAGAUCGAAUAUUCAAAACAUCAUCCAUCACAACAAGAUACCUCCUUCCACUUAUCCCAGGCUCUUAGUCAACAAGAUUCUUAUCAUAUAUCAUUCGUACGAUUCCACGUUUCUUAGGCUCUUAGCUAACAAAUUCUUAUCAUAUAUCAUUCGUACGAUAAGAGACCUCCAUAUCCCACACAUCAUCCAUUAUAAUAAGACGUCUCCUUCCCUUUAAGAAUAUUUUCCUAUUUACUAGUUAGCAAAAUUCUACUUCCACAUCAUUUUUAAAUGAUUGUUCAGUAUCGUCACGUCACGUAGUAUUUCAUAUACCAUCCAUGAUCGUAAAUUUUUCUAACAUAAAGUGUCUUACCGAGUCCUUCCAUUCCAACUAUAGAGAUUGGAUCAAGUUCCGUUUCUUGAUCUCCAUCAAAUCAGCAUCAAGAUCCACCCCAAUGAUCUCAUCUUUGGUUGCACUUUUUGAGGAAUCAGCAAGCGAUAAAGUCUUCCUCGCCAAAAUUCCAUUGUUUUCACUGCUCAUUUGUGAAGAAUUUUCAACAAAACUUUCAAGAAACUAAAAGGGCUUCUAAUAGGGAUGUAAUUUGUUAUUUCUCCUAGAUCUAUAUAUUGAUAAUCUUGAAAGCAACUUACAAUUUCUUAAUGGGAUAACAGGCUGAAUUUGCACAAAUAACAAGAUGACUCAUUUAACUAAGCUAUUUAUU